Molecule: ribosomal RNA, 499 nt
Filed under: uncultured bacterium
Lineage: Bacteria
Description: bacterial SSU rRNA
Rfam family: Bacterial small subunit ribosomal RNA
Source: RNAcentral
GAUGAACGCUAGCGGCAGGCUUAAUACAUGCAAGUCGAGGGGCAACAGGGGUAGCAAUACCUGCUGGCGACCGGCAAACGGGUGCGGAACACGUACAGAACCUUCCUUUAAGCGGGGGAUAGCCCAUAGAAAUGUGGAUUAAUACCCCAUAGUAAUGCUGGUUGGCAUCAACUGGUAUUUAAAGAUUUAUCACUUAAAGAUGGCUGUGCGGCUGAUUAGGUAGUUGGUGCGGGUAACGGCCCACCAAGCCAUCGAUCAGUAACUGGUGUGAGAGCACGACCAGUCACACGGGCACUGAGACACGGGCCCGACUCCUACGGGAGGCAGCAGUAAGGAAUAUUGGUCAAUGGACGCAAGUCUGAACCAGCCAUGCCGCGUGAAGGAUGAAGGCCCUCUGGGUUGUUAAACUUUCUUUUAUCUGGGAAAGAAACCACUUCUUUAUAGAGGUGUUGACGGUACCAGAGGAAUAAGCACCGGCUAACUCCGUGCCAGCCCGCCG